UAUUGCCACUGGAUGGUCAUUGAUCUAAACUUUUACUAAACGUAUAACACUACAUCAACGGAAAAGAAUGGAUUCUGUAAUGACGGGAAACACAACCGAUAGGAUUAACAAUGCAUUGGCAGCACUGAGGAGUGAAAUGUUUGACCUCAGACAGCAAGAUGGCCAACUGAUGAAACAGCUUAUUUGUAUCAACGAAAACAUUAAAACUUUGUCGAAGAGACCGAUUCCUGCCAGACCAAUUCGAAAGAGAAUGUCUUUGGUGAAAGGGCGAAGGAAAUUCAUCAAUCCAAAUGAAUCCAUUCCAGAAGAAGAUUCUAGUUCUGCAGAUUCCGACAGUGACGACAGCGUUUCUGGUACAGAGAACUACCAAUGAUGGAGGAACCUGGUAGCGGUCACAUGACACAUCUUCAAAUGAAUCCAUCCUAAGUGGAGUCAAUCUGUUCGUUUAAAUGACAGGACGGAACCAAUCCGAACGAGGAACUCUCUAGCUUUAAAGAAUCUUCUAGCUAACAGACAUGGCCCAUCGGGAUCAGUUACCAUGACGAUAUUUAGGUUACCGUACCGGAUCUGUGCAUCACACCGAUGAUUAUAGCCAAUAUCUGCCACUGUUUGGACACCGCAAUGUCAUAUUUUUAACACAGAGGGCAAUGAAGCAGCACUGAAUCGUGAUUUAACACUGUGGAAGAACUCAGUCUGGACUUAAAUCGCUGUUUUCUGAAUCAGGCCAUUAUUUUACGGUGUUUUACUGAAGAACAUACACGAUCUAAAAGAAAUUUAUGUUCAAACCGCGCUGUAUAGGACAUGGUUAUUUCUUUCAGAUCUGACAAUGACUUUUAAACUUUGCGUUCGCUCCCAAUGUCUCAAGAGCGAAAAACGUAAACACCUUAGUCUUUCUUAUAAAUUACUUUUGUUCACCUCUGUCGAUUACCUGCACGUGUUCGUAUUAUGUUAAUGUAUUUAACAGUGCAUCAGAGGAAAAUAGUAAACAAAGCACAUUUGUAUAUCAAGUGUGUAGUGCACCAACUAUAUAUAAUUAUGCGCAUUUAUUGGAAUAAGAAUAUGUGUUUGCGUCAUAAAUGUUAAUGCGUAGGUGUGAUAAAUUGUGACAUUAAGGAUGUGAUGUCAAGAGGCAAUAGGGCAUAUUGCAAUUAA
Molecule: long non-coding RNA, 1152 nt
Filed under: Mizuhopecten yessoensis (Yesso scallop)
Lineage: Eukaryota; Metazoa; Mollusca; Bivalvia; Pectinida; Pectinidae
Description: uncharacterized LOC110447671
Source: RNAcentral